CCCACUAGCAAACCCAAAGCUGAACUCAAA
Molecule: non-coding RNA, 30 nt
Filed under: Homo sapiens (human)
Lineage: Eukaryota; Metazoa; Chordata; Mammalia; Primates; Hominidae
Source: RNAcentral